Molecule: ribosomal RNA, 305 nt
Filed under: uncultured bacterium
Lineage: Bacteria
Description: bacterial SSU rRNA
Rfam family: Bacterial small subunit ribosomal RNA
Source: RNAcentral
UUUAGCCUACGGGAGGCAGCAGUGGGGAAUAUUGCACAAUGGGGGAAACCCUGAUGCAGCGACGCCGCGUGAGUGAGGAAGUAUUUCGGUAUGUAAAGCUCUAUCAGCGGGGAAGAAAAUGACGGUACCUGACUAAGAAGCCCCGGCUAACUACGUGCCAGCAGCCGCGGUAAUACGAAGGGGGCAAGCGUUAUCCGGAUUUACUGGGUGUAAAGGGAGCGUAGACGGUUAAUCAAGUCAGAAGUGAAAACCCAGGGCUCAACCAUGGGACUGCUUUUGAAACUGAGUAGCUAGAGAGCAGGAGG